Molecule: ribosomal RNA, 468 nt
Filed under: uncultured bacterium
Lineage: Bacteria
Description: partial 16S ribosomal RNA
Rfam family: Bacterial small subunit ribosomal RNA
Source: RNAcentral
GACGAACGCUGGCGGCGUGCUUAACACAUGCAAGUCGAACGGAAAGCCCCUGCUUUUGUGGGGUGCUCGAGUGGCGAACGGGUGAGUAACACGUGAGUAACCUGCCCUUGACUUUGGGAUAACUUCAGGAAACUGGGGCUAAUACCGGAUAGGAGCUCCUGCUGCAUGGUGGGGGUUGGAAAGUUUCGGCGGUUGGGGAUGGACUCGCGGCUUAUCAGCUUGUUGGUGGGGUAGUGGCUUACCAAGGCUUUGACGGGUAGCCGGCCUGAGAGGGUGACCGGCCACAUUGGGACUGAGAUACGGCCCAGACUCCUACGGGAGGCAGCAGUGGGGAAUAUUGCACAAUGGGCGGAAGCCUGAUGCAGCAACGCCGCGUGCGGGAUGACGGCCUUCGGGUUGUAAACCGCUUUCGCCUGUGACGAAGCGUGAGUGACGGUAAUGGGUAAAGAAGCACCGGCCAACUACGUG